Acanthochromis polyacanthus (spiny chromis) is the source of this 5300-nucleotide long non-coding RNA. RefSeq lists it as uncharacterized. The record is from RefSeq and is a predicted model, not a curated record. The transcript is spliced from 3 exons. Lineage: Eukaryota; Metazoa; Chordata; Actinopteri; Pomacentridae.
ACAGCCCUUUUCAAGUCCAGCCACAAAUUCUCUAUAGGAUUGAGGUCUGGGCUUUGACUCGGCCACUCCAGAACAUUUACCUGGUUCUUUUUUAACCAUUCCUCUGUAGCUUUUGCAGUAUGUUUUGGAUCAUUGUCGUGCUGGAAAAUAAAUCUUCUCCCAAGACGUAGUUCUCUUGCAGACUGAAAAAGAUUGUCCCCCAGGAUUUCAGUGUAUUUUGCAGCAUUCAUUCUGCCCUCUAUCUUUACAAGCCUUCCAGGUCCAGUUGCUGAGAAACAUCCCUACAACAUGAUGCUGCCACCACCAUGCUUCACAGUGGGGAUGGUGUGUUUUUGGUGAUGUGCAGUGUUUGGUUUCCGCCAAACAUGACGUCUUGUCUGAUGGCCAAAAAGCUCAAUUUUGGUCUCAUCAGACCAAAGAAUCUUCUUCCACUUGACCAUGGAGUCUUCCACGUGCUUUUUGGCAAACUCUAGUUGAGAUCUAAUAUGACUUUUCUUCAACAGUGGCUUUCUCAUUGCCACUGUAACUCCAGAUCCAUAGUGCUGUCAGUGUUCAUUCAUGAACAAUUUGACGUUGUCAGCUGACAUUAGCCGUUUCGGAUUGGCUGUUGCUCCGCCGCGGCAUUGCUAAAUACUCCUGUGCGGAAAUGCACAGAAGGUCGGCUGCUGCUGUGGCUGGUGGCAUCGCGUGCAGCGUCUAGCAAAGACAAACGCAACUUACAAGCCUAUCUGAACACUUCACAUCCAUCUAAAGCACCGUGCUUGUUUGGUGACUCGCCCGGACUCCCGCUCUAAAACAGCGUGUUUUACGAACGCAGUCGCUCUAAGGUCAGGUUUUUUUUGUGUACCUCACAACCUGGAUCCCAAAGACUCCAAAUGAACAGAAUCUUCUUUAAUGAAGUGGCGAGCUGGUAGGAUUGUUUUUUUUUCUUCCCGUUUGAACUGUCAAUGGAAUAUGGACUGAAGGUCCCCCCCCCCCCCCCCCUUCCUAACUAAAAAAAAACUGAACUAAACUGAUCAAAACUUGAACUGAUCAAACUCAAGGUGAAACCUCAAGAGACUUUGAAACUUGAAAGAAAGUAAAAACCAAACUCUGGGUUAACCAGCAAAAGCUGUGAUUUUGUUUGUUUUUGUCCUAUUGUAUUGCCAUAUUAUUUGUCUACAUUGUUUUGUUUAUUUGUCCUAUAUAUAUUUUCAAUAAUACCAUUUUGUUCAAAGUUAUUCAUUUGUGGGGUUUUCUUUCACACCAUUUUGGCUCCAUAAAGAACUGGAUCUUCUGUCUUCUACACAUAUAGCUCAACUUCAUAUUGGUUACACCACUCUCCCAUAAAGCUUUGACCGGUGAAGAACCCGGGCAGCAGUUGCUACAUGCACAGUCUCUCCCAUCUCAGCAGCUGAAGCUUGUAACUCCUUCAGAGUAGUUGUAGGGGUCUUGGUGGCUUUUCGCACUGGUCUCCUACUUGCACGGUCACCCAGUUUACGAGGGCGGCCUGAUCUAGGCAGAUUCACACGAGUGCCAUAUUCCUUCCAUUUCCUGAUAAUUGAUUUCACUGAACUCCGGGGGAUGUUCAGUGCCUUGGAAAUUUUUUUGUAACCAUCCCCUGAAUUGUACUUCUCAAUAACCCUUUCCCUGAGUUGCUAAGAGUGUUCUUCUGUCUUCAUGGUGUAAUGGUAGCCAGUAAUACUGAUCAACCACUCUCUGGACCCUUCAGACACAGGUGUUUUACAACUCAAUCACUGGAAACACACCCACACCACUCAGGUGAUCUUCAUUUCACUAACUGUGAGACUGUUGGCAACAAUUUGAUGGACUUCUAUUGAAUUAGACCAUUAAAUUAAAAAGGGGGUGAAUAAUUAUGCAAACAAUUAUUUUCAUUUAUAUAAUUUUCUUUCAUUAACAUUAGUUUAUAGAGAUCUGUUUUCACUUUGACAUUAAAGAGUUUUUUCCAAUAUUUUUUUUUGUUAAAAGAGCUCAAUUUUAUUGACCAUGAUUGAUUUAUGAAAAAAAAUAAAAGGGUAAAACAGCAAAGGGGGUGAAUACUUAUGAUAGGCACUGUAACUGUUCAGUCUGUUUCUUCAGGAACACAGUAGGGUUAGAAAACUAAAGACACCUACAUAUUUUUUUUUAUAAGGAACUCUGGGUUAGCCUAUAUUUGGAAAACUGUAAACUCCAAAGCUGUUCUACUUGAUCAGACUAUCUAUCAAUAUUUUUGUUUUUGUGCUACAACUUGUCAUUCAUGGUAAAUCAGACAUGAAAAUCAAUUUUUGACCAAAUAUUUCGUAUUAACAGUAUGCUACAUGUGUGUGUACAUUGUGUUAUUGUGACAUCAGGAGCUGAUUUCUGCAUUAUCAUUAUUACUCUGCCAAGGAAGCGGAACCUCUGCAAUCAGCCUUGGUUUGUCUGUCUGUCUGUCUGUCAGCAACAUUACUCAAAAAUGGACUAAUGGAUUUCGAUUAAAUUUUCAAGGAAGGUCAGAAAUGACACAAGGACCAAGUGAUUAGAUUCUGGCAGUGAUGCAGCUUAUAGUCUGGAUCCAUGGAUUUAUUAAAUAUUUCUGUGUCAUUGCGAGAUAACGGCACUGUAACCAUGACAACAAGUGAACACUACAUCAGCUAACGAUCACAUGAUUGUGAUCCUACUACAAAUCCACUGUUGUGAACCAUGACUUUUUAAAAGAUUUUACCCGUUGGAAAUCAUACAACGACUGAGCAGACUUGGUGGAGUACUGUGCUCUCUGAGUGCUUCUCUUUUUUUGUAAAUUGUGCUCAUGGUUGGAACAUUUUAUGGCCCCUUCAAAUAUUUGUAAGUUUUCACCACACCCAUAAUCAGAGAUGAUUUAAUCUACUUGCCUAAUAUUUCAGAUUCUGAAUCAGUGGCCUGAUGAGAAAGUUCAGGCGUUUAACUUUAAUAUCUAUGAAGAUAUUCUUGUUCAAACAGCCUUAAAUUUGAAUUUGUGAGAAAUCCUGCUGAAAAUGGGUCAAUGGGUCAUUAAAAAAUUAAAAAUAAAAAUUUCAGAAAACAUUUGAUAUUUAAUUGUAAAAUUUCAUAGAUACUAUGAUAAAUAUUUGUAGUUUAUGGUAAAAAUGUUUCAAGCAAAUUAGAGAUGGUCGAGCAGAAGGCAAAAGAUGAACUGAAAUAGAAUAAGCCUAAAAAUACAUUGAAUGAAAGGAGCAGGGCCGGCCCUAGGACUUUGGUGGCCCUAAGCAAGAUUUUUUUUGUGGCCCCAAAACAUGCACAGGACAACUACCAAAUCACGUGCACAGCUUGUUGUAGCAAGACUGCAAAGGCCCUGGAAUUCCUGAGCUGAUCAAAACUCAGAUAAGCUCUCCCUCUCUCCAGCACUGACCAACACCCAUCUCUAUAGGAGGAUUGAGACAUUUGUAUUUCUGUAGGUUUUCAUUCACAGAAGGAUGGAGCUCCUGUGAACAUUUAAACCCCUGGAAUAACUUUUUCUUUUUUAAAGACAAUGACUUUCAAUUAUAUGCUAUGGAUGUUUGUUUAAUGAACUUUCAUGCUAAAAUCCCUUUUCAGCUUUCGGAGACCCUCAGCCGGAGAUGUCUCUGCAUUCCACAGAUCAGAUAACAAGUCGUAAAACUUUAUGGCAGAAGGCUGGAACAGAGAGAGACACACUCUUUAACUGAAGAAACUAAUUACUUCAAAGUUCAUAUUUCUGAGAUUUAUUUUGUUCUUUCCUGAUUACCAAAGUUAUAGUGAGAUUAUGUUGUACAUCAUAUCCAAAAAUGAUAUUUAUAUCUUUGACAGAAGCCUAGAUAUCGAAAUGCCUGGUUAAUUGACCCCUCCCACAGGAUUUUGGACUGAAUUCCCUUAUUAAUCUCUGAAUUUCCUUUCCAUUUAGGUUGAAUGAUGACCAUUGUACUUUCUUAUUACCAAAUCUCUGACUUGUUGUUAUAUUUUCACUGUGAUACAUAUUUUUAAUGUCAUAAACAUAUAGUUAUGAAUGAAAUGAUUCACAUCAUAUGAACAUAUGUAUUAAUCUACACGUGUUUCACUUUCACACAACUGAAUAUGGUGGGAUAGACAGAUCGUGUUUUGCGCAUUUAAUAUCAUAUUUUAAUCCAUUCUGGAUUCCUCUUUCUUCUCUACUCUGUGAGAACAAAGAGAUUCCAAAUUCCACCAGAGACUCGCGCCUAAAAGUUCUCUCUCUCCGCCCAGGUCCUCCCCUUAGCUGGACCCACAGAUAAAGUCAGCCGUAGCCCACAUCUCGCUCGCUUGCUCUCUCUUACCUUCUCUUACUCUAUUACCUAAGGAAUCCAUGACAGAGAUUCCCAUUAUUUUCUUACCUAAAGUGCGUUUUUUUCUAUCUUUGAAAUUCCCUCACCAUCUAAGUUUAACUAUUUAUCUCUUAAUAUUUUUGUAACUUAAGGAGACAUUUAGCUCGUUAUUCGUUUUAAUCUGAAGAACCAAUUCAGAACCAGCAUUUAUUUUUCUUAAUUGGACAGUUUUUCAUCAACACCCGUUUUUCUUGGCUAAAGCCUGAGAACCAUCAUUUUUAAGCCAAGCAACACUCAGCUGAGAACUCCGGAGACCUGCUGGACCAGGUCUUUGCAUAAGAAUAGAUCAACCCGCGGCAGGACAUCCAAGCGUGGCCACAACAACGACGACACACCGCUCCGAACCUGCAAGUCCGGACCGUGUGCUGCUUCUCUGAAGGUCCGCAAGUCCCAGCCCCAUGACGGUUCACUUCAAUAACUCCAGCUGAGUUUGCUCUGAUUCCAUUCUAUGGGUGAUGUACUAACCGCUUGGUCAUUUAAUUCAUUUAAUCAAUUUAUUCUUUUACAAAUCAUUAGAAUUCUUAAUCCAAAUUACCGAUUACCUCGUCAGGUUAGCUCUGGCUAAUCCUCACCAUAUUUCCUUCUCUCUCACACAUUCCACAUAUGCACACACACACACACAUGUAGUCCUGCACGCACACACACACACACACCAUAUCUACAUUGUAUAUAGUUCACUUGUCAUUAUUUUCAUAAAAUAGUUAAUAAAUACCUCAUUUUAGAUCAAACUACAGUCUUAAGUGUUUCUUUGUGUAGAAUGUGGUCAAUUUAACCGAGGAUUCAAGACUUUUUGAUAUGAGAUUGAUCAAAAUUUUUAUGAAUAUUAAUAAUUUUAUUAAUGUUAAUUAAUAAAUGUCCUAGCCAUUAGAAUGCUAGGUGGUGCCCCAAUUAUUAAUAACGAGAGCUAUAAAUCAUAACGUAGUACCCCUACAUUGUAAUUGGGUUAAAACACACAUGCACAUGAUUAACAGCAAACAUUUAUUUUUUUCAAAAUGUAUCUUUAAAACG